UCAGUGCUAAAUGAAAUGGAAAUCCUUCAACAUCAUCAGACAAAUCAGUCGAUUCAAUCAGAAUGACCGUGAGUAAUUUCUUUAAAUUAUAUAGUUUACUUCUCAUUUGACACCAAAAACAACGGUACUGACUCCAAGAAGAAAAUGUACAAUAUCUCAAUACAAACAUAAUUUAGUACUAUUUUACAAUCACUACAAUCCUAGUGGAUUGAUAGUGCUUUUAUUCUUUUUCACAAAGACACAACGUACCAUUUUUUAUUUAUCAAUAAAAGAAACGAGAGUUCGUUAUUUGAUGUUUAUUUAGCAUUUGCGGUAGCAGAAGCAAUAACGACCCCAGCCUUUUCUAAUGCACUGACCCUUGGUUGCCGUUGCAUACUCUCCUAUGCACGCUAGGCUGCAGAUCUCGCUGAACGAGCAAAAUCGAGUACUAUAAUUCCUGCUCUUCCAUCGGCAAAGUUUGCCCUCAGCCACUUGCAUCUCUGCAUGGAACAACAACUUAUAGUAAAAAUUUUUAAUUGAUAACAUUAUUUAUUGGAAUUGAAAUAUAUCUUCUUCAUAAAAAACAAUAAAUCAUUUCAUAUAAUAUAGCUGAGUGUAGGCUGUGUGUGUAAAGGUACAUUUAGGGUUAACUACCUGUACCACGAAAGGAUUGUGGUAAGUUAACAACCAACAUGAAAUUUUUAUCAAUUUACCAUAAAUUCUCACAAAUAUUCUAUUUAAAUAUAUUUGACUGGAAUUUGGGUUCUAAAUCGAGCAAAAGGAAUGGUGAGCAAUAAUUAUAAAGAUCGACUCAACUAGCAUGGGACUGAGGCAUAAAUGUCGUUACUGUUAAAAAAAAUUAUUUUUCGAAACUAAAAUUUAUGCAAAUAUAGUAUACAGAUAGUCAUAAAUGAAAUGAUAAACAAAUUAAGAAGUAACAACCAUUGGCCAACAUGAGAAGGAAGCACCAGAGGAGAGCAAGGAAAGUUGUGUAGCUCACUAGUGACUUUGCCAUAUUCCUAUACUUUUGAUAUAAUACGAUCUUUCUAUUUUCUUUGAAGAGAUUAGUGUGUGGGAACUAUUAAGUGAAGACCAGUAUUUGAACAACGCCUGUCAAUAUAUUUAAUGGUUUAGUCAAAAUUUUCAAUGAAAC
Molecule: long non-coding RNA, 1132 nt
Filed under: Nicotiana tabacum (common tobacco)
Lineage: Eukaryota; Viridiplantae; Streptophyta; Magnoliopsida; Solanales; Solanaceae
Description: long non-coding RNA (NTAB_LNC003855)
Source: RNAcentral